RNAcentral lists this long non-coding RNA (281 nucleotides) under Homo sapiens (human). Its description in RNAcentral is "long non-coding RNA NONHSAT148773". Lineage: Eukaryota; Metazoa; Chordata; Mammalia; Primates; Hominidae. The record is from RNAcentral.
CAGCCAGUGAACCAACUCAACUGGGCCGGGCAUGAACGCUUACAAGUAUCAGAAGUUCCUGGAGGGACUCAACAACCUUAGAGGUAUUACAAGGCUUCAGGCUCCCUACCCUUUGUCCUUGCUGAUCGUGUGAGCACUUAUUAUGGUGUGUAUUGUAUAGGGUCUGUAAAACCCUCCUGCUCUGAGCUGGCCCUAUUUUUUAUGCGUUUAGGCAAUUAAACAGAAGGGAUAGAGUUUGUAAAUGCAAUCCUAAGUGAGUAGGAGAGAAUCUCCUUAGGUAC